This 2750-nucleotide long non-coding RNA is filed under the name Sus scrofa (pig). RNAcentral describes it as "lncRNA (ENSSSCG00040068566.1)". The record is from RNAcentral. Lineage: Eukaryota; Metazoa; Chordata; Mammalia; Artiodactyla; Suidae.
ACAUGUGUGUUUUUUCUCUACUGAGUUUUGAGAAUAAAUAAUGCAGAUAUUUUUGUUUUUGUUUGAAUUCAUAUUCUUCCUGCCUACCUCCUUCCUUUUCUUCCUUUUGUUUCUGUGAAUGAGUCAUCAGGCUGCUCCUGUGAUUGAGGAUGAGUAACUGGGUUACUUACUGGGAAGACUGUUUAUUCCAAGUUGGAUUGUUUCAGGCAAAUGUCCUCAGUUCCUUGCAGUGUCCCUGCCCUGUCCCCUGGGGUAGAGGUCUGUCAGGACUUUUCUUCCGUGGACCACCCCAGCUCCUCUGCUCUCUGAGGGUGAUCAGCUUUGAUGAUCUCAGGCUCUUGGUGAGGCCCUUUCAGAUGCAUGUGCAGCACCUCUGAGGUCCUGUGGGGGCCCUCUGUUGUUUUAAGGAGUUGCCUUUGCAGCUGUGCAGGUGCUGGGUCACAGAGGGGUCUUCUCCCAAACUUUUGGACAUUCAGCAUUUUAUGAAAACUCACAUAACAUAUUUAUCCUGUAGACCUGAAAAUACCCAGUCAAUAGGUCCAUGUCAGAUGUCAAACCAUGGGACUAAAAGAGACCACAGGCUUGAUCUAGACAUCCCUGUCCUUAUCACUGUCCCCUCCCAGGGUGUGAUGAGGAGAAGCAGCCGGAGCUAGGAGCCCAGCUUUGGAUAUGGAGACUCCAGGCAAGGCUUCUACUCCUCACUCACGCUGUGUUGCAGGUAAGGCCCCUUUCAGUUCCUGUGCUGGUUCUAAACCAUUUCAGAAGAAUGGCUGGCUGACCUAGAGAUGCUAGCGUUUCCUCCCUAAGCCUAGAAAUGCACUGGGCGUUGCGUGCAGGUCCCAGACUGGAGGAAGGGCCUGAUGCUCAGCUUGGUUGACACUGAUAUUGGAGCCUGUCUCCCUCUGUCCUCUUUCAACACUUGCAGCCACCUUCAGUUAUUUGUUCCGCCAGCUCUCGAGGUUCAUGUUUAAGAGUCUUUUGAAUGCUUGAUCCAAAUACCACCACCUCCAGUUUAAGCUCAUGGCUUUUAUUUUACUUUAAAAUGAUUAUAGUUUUAAUUUUUUUUAAAUUUUUUACAAUUUUAUUGAAGUGUAGUUGACCUACAAUGUGGUAUUAAUUUUUGCUGUAGAGCAAAGUCAUUCUGUUAGACGUAUGCACAUAUGGAUUCUUUUUCAGAUUCUCUGCCUAUAUUCCUUGAUUUGCAGAAUAUUGUGUUUGGCUGAAAAAGGUCUCAGGUGAAGUACAUCACCAGCAGUACACGGCGCAGAAUUUCCACACCACCUUCUUCAUUCCAUUAUGCUGCUUUCUGGAAACAUAAAUCUCUUCUAAUUAUGAGUAUAUAUAUUUAUUAUCUGACAAGCAAAUCUAGUUUGCCUUUCUGUGAAAUUACUUCACUGCAGUGUAACUUCUAGGAGCAUAUUUAACAUCAAUAAAAAAUAAGCCCGCGUUAUUGAAACCAUACAUUAUGCUCAGGACAAGAACAAGAAGAUCUCUGUAGCACAAUGGAAAAGUUAAUUGGAAAAUAUGAUUAACGGAGAAGUCCACAGGGUCACAUGGAAACCGUUUUCCUUGCUGCCUCUCAGGGUAGCCAUUUAAACUCUUGAAGAUGCUUUCUCUGAUCCUGAGAGUAUGGAACUGAUGUUGCAGAGUGUUGUGUACGUCCCAGACCAGGAUGAAUUCGAGAUGCAUGCCCUACCCUCCUAGUUCUCAUAGUUUAGCUGGGCAGAGUUUGUAAGGUGGCACAGUGUUCCAGAACUGGCAAAGUCAGUUCUUGCACAGGUAAAGACAGCACCAUCUGACAGGCCCCUGGUACAGUCUGCUGGUGGUGCUCUUAUGCAUAUAGUCUGGGGAAGGCCGUUAAUACAGGAGAUGCCCGUGGAGUGCGGCAGUCCCUUGGCAGUGGCUGCUACUUGCCUCUUAAAACUGGAGGAAACUCUGUUUCCAAAUCUUGUUUUUAUUUUUUAUUUUGUAAUCAGCAUAAAAUCUGGAAUGAGGAGAAUUAUAUCUGAAGUGCUCUUUCUCAAAGAGAAAAAUGAGCAGAGUCAGCUCUAUCAUCUCUACCCUGAUUGUAAUGCUAAAUUAGGGAAGAUAAAUGUACCUGAUUUAUAGUUUCAAAGACUGCACUGCUUAACAUCUCCUCUCUAGGGCUCCUAUGGACUGAAGAGGGUCCAUAGCAAACCUCACAAUGCAAAUUACUCACAGUAUGUUCCUAUAAUUCAAACAACAACAAAAGAAUCACAAUGCUCUCUACAGAGUGCCUGUAAAUAACUGUGGUUUUAAUUAAGCCCUCAGUGAAAUGAAAAAAAGAAAAGAAUUUUUGGGACGUCCUCCAGCACCUCACGUAGCCCUCAGAGCUUGGAUCUACUGGGUUGGAACCCAGAAAGGUCCAGUCUGUUCUUGGCCGUGCAGCCCCUACCUCCUCCUGCCCCCUUAAAAAGGAGCUGUGCACUGUGGCUUUGCUUGGUGGCCAGAAGAGAGCUCUGUGGGGACAGAGUGUGCAGCCUGCUUUGCUUGACAUCACAGUGAGGGAACAUGAACUCAGCAACUGUUCAGUGAGUGGGGACCCUUAGGACCUGACCCAUCACACUCAGAGCAUAAACCAACCACAGGUAAUGAAUGUGAUGGGAGGACACCACUGUAUUUAUGUCAUCAUUUCGUGGAUUCGUUAUAAAGCAAAACGAUCCUAGGGUCUUGAGAGUCCAUGCUUAUUCAGUAUCUUAAAACUAGGAAGCAUUUACAAGAUUGUGAAG